AGACACGGCCCCCACUCCUACGGGAGGCAGCAGCAGGGAAUCUUGCACAAUGGGCGAAAGCCUGAUGCAGCGACGCCGCGUGAGGGAUGAAGGUUUUAGGAUCGUAAACCUCUUUUCUUAGGGAAUAGUUUGGAAGGUACCUAAGGAAUAAGUCACGGCUAACUACGUGCCAGCAGCCGCGGUAAUACGUAGGUGGCAAAUGUUGUCCGGAAUCAUUGGGCGUAAAGGGUCCGUAGGUGGCUUGAAAAGUCUUAUGUGAAAUCUCUUGGCUCAACCAAGAAACGCCAUAAGAAACUUUCUAGCUAGAGACCAUCAGAGGGAGGUAGAAUUCCAGGUGUAGUGGUGAAAUGCGUAGAUAUCUGGAGGAAUACCAAUGGCGAAAGCAGCCUCCUGGGGUGAAUCUGACAUUGAGGGACGAAAGCGUGGGUAGCAAACCGGAUUAGAUACCCGGGUAGUCCAUGCCGUAAACGAUGAAUACUGGGUCUUCGGGGAAUCGACCCCCUGUGGACCGAAGCUAACGCGUUAAGUAUUCCGCCUGGGGAGUACGGUCGCAAGACUAAAACUCAAAGGAAUUGACGGGGGCCCGCACAAGCAGCGGAGCGUGUGGUUUAAUUCGAUGGUAAACGAAGAACCUUACCUAGGUUUGACAUAUAAGUAGUACUGACCCGAAAGGUGAUGGACCCGCAAGGGAGCUUAUACAGGUGCUGCAUGGUUGUCGUCAGCUCGUGCCGUGAGGUGUUGGGUUAAGUCCCGCAACGAGCGCAACCCUCGUGGAUAGUUGUUUUCUUUAUCCAGACUGCUUUUAAAGAGGAAGGUGGGGACGACGUCAAAUCAUCAUGGCUCUUACACCUAGGGCUACACACACGCUACAAUGGACAGUACAGACGGUUGCUAAGUCGCAAGAUGGAGCCAAUCCGAUAAAGCUGUCCCCAAUUGGGAUUGUAGGCUGAAACUCGCCUGCAUGAACCUGGAGUUGCUAGUAACCGCGUAUCAGCAUGCUGCGGUGAAUACGUUCCCGGGCCUUGUACACACCGCCCGUCACGUCAUGGAAGUUUGAAACACUUGAAGUCGUUGGGCUUACCCUUAUGGGACGCAGACGCCGAGAGUGGGGCAAAUGACUGGGACGAAGUCGUAACAAGGUAGCUGUACCGGAAGGUGCGGCUG
RNAcentral lists this ribosomal RNA (1164 nucleotides) under marine metagenome. Its description in RNAcentral is "bacterial SSU rRNA". It matches the Rfam family "Bacterial small subunit ribosomal RNA", at positions 322 to 1520 of the family's 1533-position model. The record is from RNAcentral.